CAGUCGCCACGGGAAAACGGAGGGAGCUAGCGUUGUUCGGAAUUACUGGGCGUAAAGCGCACGUAGGCGGUUAUUUAAGUCAGAGGUGAAAGCCCAGUGCUCAACACUGGAACUGCCUUUGAGACUGGAUAACUUGAAUCCAGGAGAGGUGAGUGGAAUUCCGAGUGUAGAGGUGAAAUUCGUAGAUAUUCGGAAGAACACCAGUGGCGAAGGCGGCUCACUGGACUGGUAUUGACGCUGAGGUGCGAAAGCGUGGGGAGCGAACAGGAUUAGAUACCCGGGUAGUCCCUGUCUCUUAUAC
RNAcentral lists this ribosomal RNA (301 nucleotides) under uncultured bacterium. RNAcentral's name for it is "partial 16S ribosomal RNA". It matches the Rfam family "Bacterial small subunit ribosomal RNA", at positions 509 to 807 of the family's 1533-position model. The record is from RNAcentral.